Molecule: long non-coding RNA, 846 nt
Organism: Leopardus geoffroyi (Geoffroy's cat)
Lineage: Eukaryota; Metazoa; Chordata; Mammalia; Carnivora; Felidae
Exons: 3
Source: RefSeq, a predicted model, not a curated record
AAUAGCUGUGGCAAAACUGAGGCAACUUGAAACCCUCAUAUUCACUGUGGAGCUCCCACUGAUACAUGGCCCAGUCACCUCAAGAAAAGCUUGACUCGCCAGGCCCUGAAGUGAUUCCGCGUGACUGCGGAAGCACAGAUUUACAGAGGGUUCCUGCUCGGAGGCUGACAGGUCAGACCCACUGACCAAAUGAUUCAGAGAGACUGCUUAUGGUAAAGAGGGACAUAUAUUGAGCUGAGGCCCAAGGAAUGCCGAUGGUCUCUCUGUUCAGAUCUUAAGAAAGGCCAUCGGGCCUUCUAAAGCCCUUCCCGAUUUCCAUACAAUGACCUGGAACACCGCACAGCUGUUUUUCCGCCAAGAAAACGAAAACAGGAAACCUGCGCUCGACAACUUCACACUGAGACUCGAAAGUACCAUAAUUAUAUCUUGACACAGGUGGGAGAACUGACUUACCAGCUUCGAUGCAUUCCGGCUUCAGGCAGUACUCCUGUUUGGCUUGGAGACUUAAGAAACCUUGACUCACUGAAAAAACAGACCAAAAUAAAGAAAUGACUGGCUGGUAGCAGAGCACCAUCAGAUUUUUCUGUAACCAGUGGAAAUGACCUCAGAAUGCAGUGGAGUCAUCCACAUAUCGGCAGCAUGAGAAGAACCAUAAAGUGGGGGCUCAGCAUACUAUGGCCCAUGGGGCCAAGUCCAGUCUCCUGCCAGUUUCUGUACAGCCUGUGAGCUAAAAAUGAUUUUUAUGCGUUUUAAUGGUUGGAAAAAACCACAAGAAGAAUAUUUCAUAAAAUGAUCUGAAAUUCAAAUUUCAAUGUUCAGAAAUCAAAUUAUAUCAGAACACAGUCA